GGAUGCAACAUUUCAACAACGGAUCUCUGGGCUCUCGCAUCGAUGAAGAACGCAGCGAAAUGCGAUAAGUAAUGUGAAUUGCAGAUUUUCAGUGAAUCAUCGAAUCUUUGAACGCACCUUGCGCUCCUUGGUAUUCCGAGGAGCAUGCCUGUUUGAGUGUCAUUAAAUUCUCAACUCCAAGGGUUUCACGACCUUUCGGAGAUUGGACUUGGAGGUGCUGGCCGCAUAUUGGUCGGCUCCUCUCAAAUGCAUCAGCGGAAUUCAACCUUUGGCUUCCGGAUGUCAGUGUGAUAAUCAUGUUGCGCUGUCGUUUGAUCCCUCAGAGUCCGCUUAUAAUGGUCUUCGGACAAAAUCAUCAUCAAAUUUGACCUCAAAUCAGGUAGGACUACCCGCUGAACUUAAGCAUAUCAAUAAGCGGAGAAAGGCGAUCGUAUCAGUUAA
Molecule: ribosomal RNA, 441 nt
Filed under: uncultured fungus
Lineage: Eukaryota; Fungi
Description: eukaryotic LSU rRNA
Rfam family: 5.8S ribosomal RNA (bases 8-162)
Source: RNAcentral